UGUCCUGUGGUGUAAUGGUAGCACACCGCCCUUUGGAGGCGUGGGCCAUGGUUCGAAUCCAUGCGGGACAG
RNAcentral lists this transfer RNA (71 nucleotides) under Candidatus Omnitrophota bacterium. RNAcentral's name for it is "Candidatus Omnitrophica bacterium (sediment metagenome) tRNA-Gln". It matches the Rfam family "tRNA". From Rfam's summary of the family: Transfer RNA (tRNA) molecules are approximately 80 nucleotides in length. Their secondary structure includes four short double-helical elements and three loops (D, anti-codon, and T loops). The record is from RNAcentral. Lineage: Bacteria; Pseudomonadati; Candidatus Omnitrophota.